This 97-nucleotide transfer RNA is filed under the name Cutaneotrichosporon oleaginosum. RNAcentral describes it as "Trichosporon oleaginosus tRNA". It matches the Rfam family "tRNA". From Rfam's summary of the family: Transfer RNA (tRNA) molecules are approximately 80 nucleotides in length. Lineage: Eukaryota; Fungi; Basidiomycota; Tremellomycetes; Trichosporonales; Trichosporonaceae. The record is from Rfam by way of RNAcentral.
GCCUCGUUAUAUCAGUCGGUAGAUUAAAUGACUCUUAAUGCGGACUCUUAAGUUCCGGUUGAUCAUUCGGUCGUGGGUUCGAGCCCCACACGAGGCU